RNAcentral lists this ribosomal RNA (294 nucleotides) under uncultured bacterium. RNAcentral's name for it is "partial 16S ribosomal RNA". It matches the Rfam family "Bacterial small subunit ribosomal RNA", at positions 775 to 1067 of the family's 1533-position model. The record is from RNAcentral.
GGAUUAGAUACCCUGGUAGUCCACGCCCUAAACGAUGGAUACUAGUUGUUGGGAUUUCUAAUAGUCUCGGUAACGAAGCUAACGCAUUAAGUAUCCCGCCUGGGAACUACGAUCGCAAGAUUAAAACUCAAAGGAAUUGACGGGGGCCCGCACAAGCGGUGGAGCAUGUGGUUUAAUUCGAUGCUACGCGAAAAACCUUACCUGGACUUGACAUCCCGGGCUAUUCUGGGAAACCAGAAGUUCCCUUCGGGGACUCGGUGACAGGUGCUGCAUGGCUGUCGUCAGCUCGUGCCG